AACGAACGCUGGCGGCAUGCCUAACACAUGCAAGUCGAACGAGACCUUCGGGUCUAGUGGCGCACGGGUGCGUAACGCGUGGGAACCUGCCCUUAGGUUCGGAAUAACUCCCCGAAAGGGGUGCUAAUACCGGAUAAUGUCUUCGGACCAAAGAUUUAUCGCCUUUGGAUGGGCCCGCGUUGGAUUAGCUAGUUGGUAGGGUAAAAGCCUACCAAGGCGACGAUCCAUAGCUGGUCUGAGAGGAUGAUCAGCCACACUGGGACUGCGACACGGCCCAGACUCCUACGGGAGGCAGCAGUGGGGAAUAUUGGACAAUGGGCGAAAGCCUGAUCCAGCAAUGCCGCGUGAGUGAUGAAGGCCUUAGGGUUGUAAAGCUCUUUUACCCGGGAUGAUAAUGACAGUACCGGGAGAAUAAGCACCGGCUAACUCCGUG
This 433-nucleotide ribosomal RNA is filed under the name uncultured bacterium. RNAcentral describes it as "partial 16S ribosomal RNA". It matches the Rfam family "Bacterial small subunit ribosomal RNA", at positions 29 to 507 of the family's 1533-position model. The record is from RNAcentral.